GUGUCAGCAGCCGCGGUAAUACAGAGGGUGCGAGCGUUGUCCGGAAUCACUGGGCGUAAAGGGCGCGUAGGUGGCGAGCCAAGUCGGUGGUGAAAGCUCGAUGCUCAACAUCGAGUCGGCCAUCGAAACUGGUUUGCUUGAGCACUGUAGGGGCAGAUGGAAUUCCGGGUGUAGCGGUGGAAUGCGUAGAGAUCCGGAAGAACACCGGUGGCGAAGGCGGUCUGCUGGGCAGUUGCUGACACUGAGGCGCGACAGCGUGGGGAGCAAACAGGAUUAGAUACCCUGGUAGUCC
This 292-nucleotide ribosomal RNA is filed under the name uncultured bacterium. RNAcentral describes it as "partial 16S ribosomal RNA". It matches the Rfam family "Bacterial small subunit ribosomal RNA", at positions 505 to 796 of the family's 1533-position model. The record is from RNAcentral.